UGCAGUCGAGGGGCAGCAUGGUGUAGCAAUACACUGAUGGCGACCGGCAAACGGGUGCGGAACACGUACGCAACCUACCCAAAACUGGGGAAUAGCCCGGGGAAACCCGGAUUAAUACCUCGUAACAUAAUUGAAUGGCAUCAUUUGAUUAUUAUAGCUCAGGCGGUUUUGGAUGGGCGUGCGACUGAUUAGGUAGUUGGCGGGGUAACGGCCCACCAAGCCUACGAUCAGUAACUGGUGUGAGAGCACGACCAGUCACACGGGCACUGAGACACGGGCCCGACUCCUACGGGAGGCAGCAGUAAGGAAUAUUGGUCAAUGGACGCAAGUCUGAACCAGCCAUGCCGCGUGAAGGAUGAAGGUCCUCUGGAUUGUAAACUUCUUUUAUAUGGGAAGAAAUCCCGGAAUUCUUUCUGGGUUGACGGUACCAUAGGAAUAAGCACCGGCUAACUCCGUGCCAGCAGCCGCGGUAAUACGGAGGGUGCAAGCGUUAUCCGGAUUCACUGGGUUUAAAGGGUGCGUAGGAGGGCAGGUAAGUCAGUGGUGAAAUCCCCAAGCUUAACUUGGGAACUGCCGUUGAUACUAUCUGUCUUGAAUACCGUGGAGAUGAGCGGAAUAUGUCAUGUAGCGGUGAAAUGCUUAGAUAUGACAUAGAACACCAAUUGCGAAGGCAGCUCGUUACACGAAUAUUGACUCUGAGGCACGAAAGCGUGGGGAUCAAACAGGAUUAGAUACCCUGGUAGUCCACGCCCUAAACGAUGGAUACUCGACAUACGCGAUACACAGUGUGUGUCUGAGCGAAAGCAUUAAGUA
RNAcentral lists this ribosomal RNA (813 nucleotides) under uncultured Sphingobacteriia bacterium. RNAcentral describes it as "bacterial SSU rRNA". It matches the Rfam family "Bacterial small subunit ribosomal RNA", at positions 56 to 866 of the family's 1533-position model. Lineage: Bacteria; Pseudomonadati; Bacteroidota; Sphingobacteriia. The record is from RNAcentral.